UCUCGCUCCCUUCUCUUCCUCCGAAUCCGGUUCUUCCCCUUCUUCAGUGGUUGUUCUUCCAGCGCUCACUGGAAGUGCGGUGCCCGCUCCUCUUUUCUCAGGUGCUCCUCCCUUCUUAGGCAAGGCUUCUUAGGCAAGGCUGCUUCCAGUCGUUGCUGGCAGCUCCUUGGUUCGAUAGGGGUGGCGUGCGGAGUUGGUUUCCGGCGUCCUUCCUCGCUGGUCGCCGGCCGCGACGUAGGUUUGCUGCUGCUGGGUUCCUGUGAGGAGCCAGAACUGCUUGUCAUUGCAAGCUUGGCAACGAUGACCCUCAACUGGCGUCUCGGCAACGUGACGAGGGUUUGGAGGUGGAGCAUUUUGAGAGAGCGUCGGGCUGGCUCUCUCUUCCUUCAUGUGAAAACCAAGUUCCUUUCAGGACGAGCGUUGACAGCAUCCUUGGUGUUGUUCCCUUGUUGGAGGCUUCGCUCAGAAGGUUUUUACUCCACUGGUGAUUGUUUGGUGGUGCUGGAGACCUCGUUUGCAUUAUAUGUUGUCGAAGCUGCUUGCCACUGUAAGCUCGGCAACGACGACUUUUGUGAUAUCUCAGUAGUUUCUUUCUUUUCCCUUUCCCUUUCUGUAUAUUUUUUUGCCGGUUUCCUAUUUAAUUAA
RNAcentral lists this long non-coding RNA (645 nucleotides) under Oryza sativa Indica Group (long-grained rice). RNAcentral's name for it is "lncRNA OsMH63_12G012350". The record is from RNAcentral. Lineage: Eukaryota; Viridiplantae; Streptophyta; Magnoliopsida; Poales; Poaceae.